CAAACUGGAGAUGGCGACCGGCGCACGGGUGAGUAACACGUAUCCAACCUGCCGAUAACUCGGGGAUAGCCCUUCGAAAGAAAGAUUAAUACCCGAUAGUAUAAUGAAACCGCAUGGUCUUAUUAUUAAAGAAUUUCGGUUAUCGAUGGGGAUGCGUUCCAUUAGGCAGUUGGUGAGGUAACGGCUCACCAAACCUUCGAUGGAUAGGGGUUCUGAGAGGAAGGUCCCCCACGUUGGAACUGAGACACGGUCCAAACUCCUACGGGAGGCAGCAG
This 275-nucleotide ribosomal RNA is filed under the name uncultured bacterium. RNAcentral's name for it is "partial 16S ribosomal RNA". It matches the Rfam family "Bacterial small subunit ribosomal RNA", at positions 77 to 354 of the family's 1533-position model. The record is from RNAcentral.